AGGAAGCGCCCGCGGCGGGCGGGCCGGGCUGCGGGGUGCGGGGCCGCGGCGGCGCAGAGAGAAGGGGAAGCCAGACCCAGCUGCACGUCCUUCCUGCACUUCCAGCCAAGGAAGCUCCAGGGGAAGCAGAGGGAGCAUCCAGAGCGAGGGCUGGACCUGUCUGUGAAGCAUCUUCCCUCGUGACCCGCACUCCUUGGUCAGCAGUGACAUAAAUGGCUCGACUCCCUGCUGGCAUCCGCUUCCUAGUCUCAUUCUCAAGGGACCAGUGGUACCGAGCCUUCAUUUUUGUUUUGACAUUUUUGCUGUACGCAAGUUUUCACUUAUCACGAAAGCCCAUCAGCAUCGUCAAGGGCGAGCUCCACGAGUACUGCGAGGCCUCCCGCGAGGGGCACGUCAGGUUGAGCAGCCGGAGCAGGCAGAGCGGCCCCGUCCCGCCCCAGCCAGGCGCAGACAACGAGACCCACUGUGGCUGGGCCCCGUUCGAUAAGGACAACUACCAGCAGCUGCUCGGGGCCCUGGAUUACUCCUUCCUGUGCACCUAUGCCGUCGGGAUGUAUCUGAGUGGCAUAAUAGGGGAGCGCCUGCCGAUUAGGUACUACCUGACUUCCGGGAUGCUCGCCAGCGGGGCCUUUACUGCCCUGUUUGGAUUGGGCUAUUUCUACGAUAUUCACAGUUUUGGAUUCUACGUGGUGGCUCAGGUUGCCAAUGGGCUGGUGCAGACCACCGGCUGGCCCAGCGUGGUCACCUGCCUCGGCAACUGGUUUGGCAAAGGAAGGCGAGGCUUGAUCAUGGGGGUGUGGAACUCCCACACCUCCGUGGGCAACAUCCUGGGGUCCCUGAUCGCUGGCUACUGGGUGUCCACGUGCUGGGGCCUGUCCUUCGUCGUGCCGGGGGCCAUCGUGGCAGCCAUGGGGCUCGUGUGCUUCCUCUUCCUCAUCGAGCAUCCCAGAGACCUCCGGUUCUCCUCCAGCCGGCCCACGCAUCCAAAAGCCUACGAGAAUGGGACAAACAGAUUAAGACUCCAGAAGCCAGUGUCAGCCCAGGAAAAGAGCAAGCCCACGGACCCGGAGAUGCAGUGCCUGCUGCUGUCAGACGGGAGCGGGUGCACCCACCCAAACCACGUCAUCAUCCUCCCGGCCGAGGGCGGGAGCGGGGUGGCUGCCAUCAGCUUCGGAGGAGCCUUGAAAAUCCCAGGCGUGGUCGAGUUCUCUCUGUGCCUGCUGUUCGCCAAGCUGGUCAGCUACACCUUCCUCUUCUGGCUGCCGCUGUACAUCACGAGCGUAGAUCACCUUGAUGCCAAAAAAGCCGGGGAGCUCUCCACCUUGUUUGACGUUGGUGGAAUCUUUGGUGGAGUCCUGGCUGGCGUGGUCUCGGAUCGGCUGCAGAAAAGGGCCUCCACCUGCGGCCUGAUGCUGCUGCUGGCGGCCCCCACGCUCUACAUGUUCUCCGCCAUCAGCAGAAUGGGCCUCGAGGCCACAGUAGCCAUGCUGCUGCUCAGCGGGGCCCUGGUCAGCGGGCCGUACGCGCUCAUCACCACCGCCGUCUCCGCUGACCUGGGGACUCAUAAGAGUCUGAAGGGAAACUCGCAUGCCCUGGCCACCGUGACGGCGAUCAUCGACGGGACCGGCUCUGUAGGAGCAGCCCUGGGUCCCCUGCUGGCCGGGCUCAUCUCCCCCUCGGGAUGGAACAACGUGUUCUACAUGCUGAUGUUUGCCGACGCCUGUGCCUUAUUGGCCUUCCACUGCAGAGUUCCCACACCCACAGCCAUGCCUCUCCUCUCUCUUUUUUUUUCCCCACCAGAGAAGAACUGAUAUUGAUCCAAUUGAAAGUGAGUUGAGGGUUUUGUGAAUAUCAAUCCCAUCUAGUAAAUGAAAGUUUUCUGUUUUACUUCCAAGAAGUCCUAAAACACAGCUCCCCUGCUGCAUUCAGGAUCAAAUGCCAACUUCCUACUGAUAAACCUGAUAGGGUUACAGAGGCUCUUCCUCAGACUGUUUGUUUUCAGAAUGACAGGGCUUUUGGUCAAGUCCCCAGAGGUGUUUCCACUAAGCGGCAGGGAAAUUUCUAUCAUUAUGACCAUUCAGAGACUGAAAAUUCCUCUACUUCAGAAAUACUGCGUGAUAUAUAUUGAAUAUCCCCUUAAAUGCGUAGGCAGACUCACAAGAAGAUGAGAGGGAAAUCCCAGGAGCAAAACUGUAGAGGCAACAUAAAACAGAGAGACACGCUGAUCUAUGCAGCAGCCUGGUUUGGCGGAGGGGAUGCGGCCGUUACCAGUCUCGGGAAUCCAGGGUUGGGUGGUUCUGCGCAUGGAGAAUAAGAGACAUGGAGCUGGGCUGGCACAAGAUGUACAGGAUUCCCACAGCCCACGCCUGCUGGAGAUGGCUUCAUAAUCCCAAAUCACGGAAUGUGAGGAAACAGUCCCCUGUGAAUGAGGGGGAGCAGGUGCAAUAAAUGCUCUCUUUAGCCUGAAUUCAAAUGUGGGGCUUUUAAGCUCCUACUUGAACCGCAGCAUCUAAGAAAAUAGAAACGUCUCUGCCUUCUAGAGCUUUGACUGAGGCUCCCUGGAGCCAAUGUGGUGGUGUUUUGUCUUAGUUUACCCCUCGAGCUCCCCUCCAGUACCCACGGCUCUGGCCUCCCCCGUCCCUUGGCCCAGGGUCUAUCCUGGCUGCGGCCAAUAGAAGCCGGGACUUCCUGGUGGCCCUACUUCAGAGCCUCAGGACACAGCCCGUGCUGUGGGGGUCGGGGCAGCCCCUGCUGCGGGGCUGGUGCAGCGCCUGGGGGAGGGUCAGGUCCACACCUGCAAGUGCAGGGAAAACCUCUCACACUCUGUGUGACACCUGCUCUCUGGUCUGGGUGUCUGCACUUCCUCUAAGCCCUUCUAAUGUUUAAGGAACCCUGGAGGGAAAUCCCGGGGCCAGGAAGGAGCCAAGGUGAAAGAGUCCCCCUGGUUUACGGCAGAAGCUUCCAGAUGGAGCACCUGUUCCAGAGGUGACCCCCAGGCUGAUGUUCACCUCCCAGCGCUCGGGCCUCCCAGUGCUACCGCGGUCUGCACGUCGCCUCGCCACUGCGCUCUGUCUUUUCCCAACGUGGGCGUUGUGUCAUCGGACUAAUUCUAUUUUAGACGCCACUUGGUCCAGAAGUAAUUCAGGCUGGCGUCCGUCCUGAAGGCCUCUUUCCAGGGGCUGGGCCUCAGCAGAUCCUUGUAGGACUUAGUAAGAAGCCGCCGCACCCUCUUUACGCUCUCCGUCCUUAGAAAAUGGGUCUCUGGGAGCCGGACACGCUCCUCCACGACUCGUACCCGGGAAGGAGAGGGCCGCAGACUGGGGGUGGCGCGGGGGCAUCUGCCCGCCCGGGCCUGGUGGCAGUAACGGGCCGUGUCUUUGUCCGGUGCAGUGUCUGAUCCGCCUCAUGCACCGGGAGCUGCGCUGUGUGGGGCCGGCGCCGGGGGACCAGGUUCCGCUGAAGGAGCACUGACCACCUCGCUCCAGGGAGCACGCCCGGCCCGCCUCACACGCUGUCUUUCCAGGGAACGUUUGAAUAAAGGAUCCCGUGUUGAGGCGCACGCUUUCCCCUUGCACUUUGCACCUGCACCUGGAAAAGGCACCCAUGAAAACUCGACAAUUCCUGGUACUCUUUUAAACUGGACGUAGCUAGCGCCUCAAGGCGGCAGGGAGAGGAGGUGACAGCAGCUGCUGCCUGGCCCCGUGACCGAGCCGGGAAAAGGAGCCGACUCAGACAAGUGCCUCCCCAGGCGCCUCUCGUCCCGUCCGGGGCAGCCUGGACCCGUGGUGCUCAGGUGAAGACCCGUCUCUCUCAGGUAUCUCAGUGACAGAAUGUGACAGCCGUGAGCUUGCCGUGCCAGCUGGGACCGGGACAACAUGGUGUCUGCCAUUUCCAGGAAACGCAUGAAAAUACCCACCAGGACAGAGGGCAGCGUUAGGGAGCAAACAGCUGAGCUCAACUCGCAACUUCCUCAGGAAAACCUGACAGCGAAUCGCAAACCAAGACAGAACCUGGACCCACGUCACCCAAAAGACUGCCAGAUGGGCCUGUCCUGACCCACAGCGUAACUGAGGUGUGAACGCACGAGGCUCCUACGCCGGCCCACUGGGCUGAGCACGUCAGGAAACGCCCGCCGUGGAACUCUGGUCGUUCCGGAAGCUUUGUGUUUGCUGCCACGCUCAGGGCCAUACUGCCAUCGUCCGCGGUCCCCAAAGCUGCUGGUCCCCUGCAGAGGGGACAAGGGGAGGGGUCGAGGGGAGGAGCCAGAGGCCCAGGUGUUGGGGAGGGGUCACAGCUGUGGGGGGUCACAGCCGAGCCAUGGUGACGGCCGCCAGCUCAGCAGCUUGCUUCCCUCCAAGACACACACAGACGCCCGGGGUCGUUUUUAGGUACACAGAGUGGAUUUUAUUUAUUGAAAAUGUGUAAUGUAUUAUGUGACUUUUAAGCAACGCAAAUGACAUUUUGUUAUUUAUUAAGAUGAGCUCCACUCCUCUGGCCGUUUGUUUCCUCGACUGUUGCCCAGAGAAAUACUUACCUGCUCUUUGAAAUAAAAUGUUUUUUUAAAAAAACACCAAACUCCAGCAGAA
Choloepus didactylus (southern two-toed sloth) is the source of this 4586-nucleotide RNA transcript. It is a transcript of the gene named solute carrier family 37 member 1, with no coding region annotated. NCBI's taxonomy places the organism in Eukaryota, Metazoa, Chordata, Mammalia, Pilosa, Megalonychidae. The transcript is spliced from 20 exons. The record is from RefSeq and is a predicted model, not a curated record.